UCGAGAAUUUUUCUCAAUGGGCGAAAGCCUGAAGGAGCGACGCCGCGUGGGGGAUGAAGGUCUUCGGAUUGUAAACCCCUGUCAUCUGCGAACAAACCUUUCCAUUGAACAGGUGGAGAGCUGAUUGUAGCGGAAGAGGAAGGGACGGCUAACUCUGUGCCAGCAGCCGCGGUAAUACAGAGGUCCCAAGCGUUGUUCGGAUUCACUGGGCGUAAAGGGUGCGUAGGCGGCGGGGUAAGUUCGAUGUGAAAUCUCCAGGCUCAACCUGGAAAUGGCAUUGAAUACUACUCUGCUUGAGGCUUGGAGGGGGGACUGGAAUGCUCGGUGUAGCAGUGAAAUGCGUAGAGAUCGAGCGGAACACCAGUGGCGAAGGCGAGUCCCUGGACAAGUCCUGACGCUGAGGCACGAAAGCUAGGGGAGCAAACAGG
Molecule: ribosomal RNA, 428 nt
Filed under: uncultured bacterium
Lineage: Bacteria
Description: bacterial SSU rRNA
Rfam family: Bacterial small subunit ribosomal RNA
Source: RNAcentral